RNAcentral lists this ribosomal RNA (289 nucleotides) under uncultured Chloroflexota bacterium. RNAcentral describes it as "uncultured Chloroflexi bacterium partial 16S ribosomal RNA". It matches the Rfam family "Bacterial small subunit ribosomal RNA", at positions 28 to 310 of the family's 1533-position model. Lineage: Bacteria; Bacillati; Chloroflexota. The record is from RNAcentral.
GAUGAACGCUGGCGGCGUGCUUAAUACAUGCAAGUCGAACGAAGAGCUUUUGUAGCAAUACAGAGGUUUCUUAGUGGCGAACGGGUGCGUAACGCGUUGGUGACCUGCCCCGAAGUGUGGGAUAACAGUUCGAAAGGACUGCUAAUACCUCAUGUGGUCAUUGGGUUUAGAAGCCGAUGACUAAAGCAGUAAUGCGCUUCGGGAGGGACCUGCGUCCCAUCAGCUAGUUGGUAGGGUAGUGGCCUACCAAGGCGAUGACGGGUAGGGGACCUGAGAGGGUGGCCCCCCA